UACGGGAGGCAGCAGUGGGGAAUAUUGCACAAUGGGCGAAAGCCUGAUGCAGCAACGCCGCGUGAGGGAUGACGGCCUUCGGGUUGUAAACCUCUUUUAGUAGGGAAGAAGCGAAAGUGACGGUACCUACAGAAAAAGCACCGGCUAACUACGUGCCAGCAGCCGCGGUAAUACGUAGGGUGCAAGCGUUGUCCGGAAUUAUUGGGCGUAAAGAGCUCGUAGGCGGUUUGUCGCGUCUGCUGUGAAAACCCGAGGCUCAACCUCGGGCCUGCAGUGGGUACGGGCAGACUAGAGUGCGGUAGGGGAGAAUGGAAUUCCUGGUGUAGCGGUGGAAUGCGCAGAUAUCAGGAGGAACACCAAUGGCGAAGGCAGUUCUCUGGGCCGUUACUGACGCUGAGGAGCGAAAGCGUGGGGAGCAAACAGGAUUAGAUACCCUGGUAGUCCACGCCGUAAACGUUGGGCGCUAGUUGUGGGGACCAUUCCACGGUUUCCGUGACGUAGCUAACGCAUUAAGCGCCCCGCCUGA
This 526-nucleotide ribosomal RNA is filed under the name uncultured Actinomycetes bacterium. RNAcentral's name for it is "bacterial SSU rRNA". It matches the Rfam family "Bacterial small subunit ribosomal RNA", at positions 340 to 876 of the family's 1533-position model. The record is from RNAcentral. Lineage: Bacteria; Bacillati; Actinomycetota; Actinomycetes.